GUGCCAGCAGCUGCGGUAAUACGUAGGGUGCAAGCGUUGUCCGGAAUUAUUGGGCGUAAAGAGCUCGUAGGCGGUUCGUCGCGUCUGCUGUGAAAACCCGAGGCUCAACCUCGGGCCUGCAGUGGGUACGGGCGAACUAGAGUGCGGUAGGGGAGAUUGGAAUUCCUGGUGUAGCGGUGGAAUGCGCAGAUAUCAGGAGGAACACCGAUGGCGAAGGCAGAUCUCUGGGCCGUAACUGACGCUGAGGAGCGAAAGCAUGGGGAGCGAACAGGAUUAGAUACCCUGGUAGUCCAUGCCGUAAACGUUGGAACUAGAUGUGGGUCCAUUCCACGGAUUCCGUGUCGCAGCUAACGCAUUAACGUUCCCCGCUGGGAGUACGGCCGCAAGGCUAAAAC
This 395-nucleotide ribosomal RNA is filed under the name uncultured Cryobacterium sp. RNAcentral describes it as "bacterial SSU rRNA". It matches the Rfam family "Bacterial small subunit ribosomal RNA", at positions 505 to 900 of the family's 1533-position model. The record is from RNAcentral. Lineage: Bacteria; Bacillati; Actinomycetota; Actinomycetes; Micrococcales; Microbacteriaceae.